GUGGGGAAUUUUGGACAAUGGGGGCAACCCUGAUCCAGCCAUCCCGCGUGUGCGAUGAAGGCCUUCGGGUUGUAAAGCACUUUUGGCAGGAAAGAAACGGCUCUGGCUAAUACCUGGGGCAACUGACGGUACCUGCAGAAUAAGCACCGGCUAACUACGUGCCAGCAGCCGCGGUAAUACGUAGGGUGCAAGCGUUAAUCGGAAUUACUGGGCGUAAAGCGUGCGCAGGCGGUUCGGAAAGAAAGAUGUGAAAUCCCAGGGCUUAACCUUGGAACUGCAUUUUUAACUACCGGGCUAGAGUGUGUCAGAGGGAGGUGGAAUUCCGCGUGUAGCAGUGAAAUGCGUAGAUAUGCGGAGGAACACCGAUGGCGAAGGCAGCCUCCUGGGAUAACACUGACGCUCAUGCACGAAAGCGUGGGGAGCAA
Molecule: ribosomal RNA, 425 nt
Filed under: uncultured Bordetella sp.
Lineage: Bacteria; Pseudomonadati; Pseudomonadota; Betaproteobacteria; Burkholderiales; Alcaligenaceae
Description: bacterial SSU rRNA
Rfam family: Bacterial small subunit ribosomal RNA
Source: RNAcentral